AUGGGGCGCGGGAAGGUGCAGCUGAAGCGGAUCGAGAACAAGAUCAACCGGCAGGUGACCUUCUCCAAGCGCCGCUCGGGGCUGCUCAAGAAGGCGCACGAGAUCUCCGUGCUCUGCGACGCCGAGGUCGGCCUCAUCAUCUUCUCCACCAAGGGAAAGCUCUACGAGUUCUCCACCGAGUCAUGUAUGGACAAAAUUCUUGAACGGUAUGAGCGCUACUCUUAUGCAGAAAAGGUUCUCGUUUCAAGUGAAUCUGAAAUUCAGGGAAACUGGUGUCACGAAUAUAGGAAACUGAAGGCGAAGGUUGAGACAAUACAGAAAUGUCAAAAGCAUCUGAUGGGAGAGGAUCUUGAAUCUUUGAAUCUCAAGGAGUUGCAGCAACUGGAGCAGCAGCUGGAAAGCUCACUGAAACAUAUCAGAUCCAGGAAGAACCAACUUAUGCACGAAUCCAUUUCUGAGCUUCAGAAGAAGGUAAGCUGCCAACCUUGCAUACCUGAACCGGAGAGGUCACUGCAGGAGGAGAAUAAAGUUCUCCAGAAGGAACUCGUCGAGAAGCAGAAGGCCCAGGCGGCGCAACAAGAUCAGACUCAGCCUCAAACAAGCUCUUCUUCUUCUUCCUUCAUGAUGAGGGAUGCUCCCCCUGCCGCAGCUACCAGCAUUCAUCCAGCGGCGGCAGGCGAGAGGGCAGGGGAUGCGGCAGUGCAGCCGCAGGCCCCACCCCGGACGGGGCUUCCACUGUGGAUGGUGAGCCACAUCAACGGCUGA
RNAcentral lists this ribosomal RNA (765 nucleotides) under Triticum aestivum (bread wheat). RNAcentral's name for it is "partial small subunit ribosomal RNA". The record is from RNAcentral. Lineage: Eukaryota; Viridiplantae; Streptophyta; Magnoliopsida; Poales; Poaceae.